RNAcentral lists this ribosomal RNA (1366 nucleotides) under Ectopseudomonas oleovorans. RNAcentral describes it as "bacterial SSU rRNA". It matches the Rfam family "Bacterial small subunit ribosomal RNA", at positions 71 to 1433 of the family's 1533-position model. The record is from RNAcentral. Lineage: Bacteria; Pseudomonadati; Pseudomonadota; Gammaproteobacteria; Pseudomonadales; Pseudomonadaceae.
GAAGGGAGCUUGCUCCUGGAUUUAGCGGCGGACGGGUGAGUAAUGCCUAGGAAUCUGCCUGGUAGUGGGGGAUAACGUUCCGAAAGGAACGCUAAUACCGCGUACGUCCUACGGGAGAAAGCAGGGGACCUUCGGGCCUUGCGCUAUCAAAUGAGCCUAGGUCGGAUUAGCUAGUUGGUGAGGUAAUGGCUCACCAAGGCGACGAUCCGUAACUGGUCUGAGAGGAUGAUCAGUCACACUGGAACUGAGACACGGUCCAGACUCCUACGGGAGGCAGCAGUGGGGAAUAUUGGACAAUGGGCGAAAGCCUGAUCCACCCAUGCCGCGUGUGUGAAGAAGGUCUUCGGAUUGUAAAGCACUUUAAGUUGGGAGGAAGGGUUGUACGUUAAUACCGUGCAAUUUUGACGUUACCGACAGAAUAAGCACCGGCUAACUUCGUGCCAGCAGCCGCGGUAAUACGAAGGGUGCAAGCGUUAAUCGGAAUUACUGGGCGUAAAGCGCGCGUAGGUGGUUCAGUAAGUUGGAAGUGAAAUCCCCGGGCUCAACCUGGGAACUGCUUUCAAAACUGCUGAGCUAGAGUACGGUAGAGGGUAGUGGAAUUUCCUGUGUAGCGGUGAAAUGCGUAGAUAUAGGAAGGAACACCAGUGGCGAAGGCGACUACCUGGACUGAUACUGACACUGAGGUGCGAAAGCGUGGGGGAGCAAACAGGAUUAGAUACCCUGGUAGUCCACGCCGUAAACGAUGUCAACUAGCCGUUGGGAUCCUUGAGAUCUUAGUGGCGCAGCUAACGCAUUAAGUUGACCGCCUGGGGAGUACGGCCGCAAGGUUAAAACUCAAAUGAAUUGACGGGGGCCCGCACAAGCGGUGGAGCAUGUGGUUUAAUUCGAAGCAACGCGAAGAACCUUACCUGGCCUUGACAUGCUGAGAACUUUCCAGAGAUGGAUUGGUGCCUUCGGGAACUCAGACACAGGUGCUGCAUGGCUGUCGUCAGCUCGUGUCGUGAGAUGUUGGGUUAAGUCCCGUAACGAGCGCAACCCUUGUCCUUAGUUACCAGCACCUCGGGUGGGCACUCUAAGGAGACUGCCGGUGACAAACCGGAGGAAGGUGGGGAUGACGUCAAGUCAUCAUGGCCCUUACGGCCAGGGCUACACACGUGCUACAAUGGUCGGUACAAAGGGUUGCCAAGCCGCGAGGUGGAGCUAAUCCCAUAAAACCGAUCGUAGUCCGGAUCGCAGUCUGCAACUCGACUGCGUGAAGUCGGAAUCGCUAGUAAUCGUGAAUCAGAAUGUCACGGUGAAUACGUUCCCGGGCCUUGUACACACCGCCCGUCACACCAUGGGAGUGGGUUGCUCCAGAAGUAGUUAG